Eptesicus fuscus (big brown bat) is the source of this 3473-nucleotide RNA transcript. It is a transcript of the gene named transmembrane protein 138, with no coding region annotated. The record is from RefSeq and is a predicted model, not a curated record. Lineage: Eukaryota; Metazoa; Chordata; Mammalia; Chiroptera; Vespertilionidae. The transcript has 6 exons.
GGACCCAGGGGCCGGCAACGCCGUCGCGGUCCGCCCUGUCCCUCACUCCCCGAAGUGUUCGGGCCCACGAAACCUCCCGCCAGGGGCUGGCGCUCAGCAAGGCCACACGGAGGGGGCGGGCCUAGGAACGCGGGGGACCCCGAACAUGGCCACCCGGCCGACUACAGAGCGGGCCGAGAAAGCCUCCUCCUCCACCCACUUCCGGAAUUUGAAACGGGUUUCCGGAAGCCCGGACGGCGUCCCCAUGACAACCGGCGUUGGGGCUCGGAGGUGAGCGUGCUUGAGGACCGUAGAGCGAGUGCACAGACGUCGGCGCUCGUUAUUGUCUUUGCUUUGGUUCUGGCUUCUCGCCGGGGCAGCCCCGUUUUUAAAGCGGAUUCGGACGGUGCGGGGACGCGCCCUGGGACGAAGGCCGCGCGGCAGGUGGCGGUGGACGGACCGUGGAGGCCGCUUCGUGACCCGCGAAUCGCGCCGCCCUGAGCCGAUCGCUGCUCCUCCCCGCGGGGGUGGCGGCGGCGGGACUGACGGCGGAGCGCCCCACACAGCCCCGGGGUGCGUCCCGGCUCCACGCCCCUGCCCCCCGCCGAGGACCUAAGCCCGACCCUGCGCCCUGGGCCGGAGGGCGGGUCACUCUCCCACCUCGCGGAGGAGCUGCGGGGUUGGAGGACGUGGCCUUGGCUGGCUCUUGUCUUGAGUAAAAGGAACAGCGCUGGUCUUCUUUCUGGGGACCUGGGAUGUGCCCUCGGGGCCGGACCGCAGAGGAAGAUGCUGCAGGCCAGCGGCUACAGCCUCGUGCUCUCCCUGCAGCUCCUGCUGCUGACCUAUGACCUCUUCGUCAAUUCCUUCUCCGAGCUGCUCCGCUCGGCACCUGUCAUCCAGCUGGUGCUCUUCAUCAUCCAGGACAUCGCGAUCCUCUUCAACAUCAUCGUCAUCUUCCUCCUGUUCUUCAACACGUUCGUCUUCCAGGCCGGCCUGGUCAGCCUCCUGUUCCACAAGUUCAAAGGCACCAUCGUGCUGACCGCGGUGUACUUCGCCCUCAGCAUCGCCCUGCACGUCUGGGUCAUGAACUUACGCUGGAAAGACUCGAACCGCUUUGUCUGGACAGAUGGACUUCAAACGCUGUUUGUGUUCCAGAGGCUAGCCGCGGUGUUCUACUGUUACUUCUACAAACGCACCGCCGUGAGACUGGGCGACCCCCGCCUCUACCAGGACUCCGUGUGGCUGCGCAAGGAGUUCACGCAAGUCCGAAGGUGACUGUCCCUCUGAUGGGUGCCUCUCCGGCCUGUCGGGCCACGUGUGCUCUGCGAGGGGGACGUCGGCCCCGGGACGCAGCCAACAGGCUCAGGAAAGAAAUUGAAGUCUUUCCAGAAGGGGUGGCGUCCGUCGGGCUAGAUCGCUUCCCCGCCUGGUAGGAGGCAUGCCAAGUCCCAGCCUCGCCCCGUGGGCAGAUGGAGCCACAGAGCGCACACAGAUAAUACAAUUUAUCGAGUCCCAUUACGCAUACAGGAUAUUUUUACAGAAAUUCAAAAUGUAACCUGAUGCCCCACCCAGCCCCACCCCUGAGUUCAGACUUCUGUGCUUUAUUCAGACUCGGCCCCCGUUCGGAUCCCCAAACUGCCCUCCGCAGAGGAGAACUGUUCCUUAGCCUGUGUGGGCAAAAGACGUUUUUAAGUCCGUGUGUCCGGAGUCUCGGUGUCUUUGCCAGAACAACGUGCGAGGAGCCGCCACCAGAUUCAGCGGCAUAUGACCACUAACGGUCACGGGCUCUCGAGUCGGGUUCCGGCGAUCUGGCUGAGUCUGGGUCAUUUCUGCGGGGCUUGCUCAUGAGUCUGGUCAGCUGUGGGUCAGCCGGGCAGCCGUGACGGUCCUGGGACCCGUGGCUCUUGGCUCACCCAGGCUGGCCUCCGCUGGAAUGACUGGGCUGUUCAGCUCAGGCUCACAUGACCCAUCCAUGACUAGCCGAGGUCUGUUCACGUGACAGUGGCCAAGGAGCAGAACAAGCCCCAGUGAGCAAUUCCAUAUCAAGCCUCCGCUUGUGUCCUGGCUCUUGGACUCGCUUUGGUCAAAGCAGGUCACGUGACGGUGCCAAGUCAGUGGGAAAGCCAAGCACAGGUUUCCUGGCACAGGCAUGGCUGCAGAAGGGCCGUGCGCCCAGUCCACCUCGCCAGGAAGUCGCUCUGUGAACUUUUCUUCACGGGCACGUGGCACAGUUCCCCACGGAUCAAGCAGACGCUCCUUGUGAAGGACCAGGCAGUGGACAGUUAGAUUUCGAGGUCCCCCGGUCUGUUGCAGCGACUCGGCAUUCUAGCGUGAAAGCCGCCGCCGCUGAUCCGGGAAGGGGUGAGCGCAGCUGUGCUCCAGUAACACCGCGUUAGGACACUCGGAUUUGAAGUUCAUGUUUUCCUGUGGCAUAACAUUUUUUUUCAACGAUGUAAAAAGGUCAUUCUAUUCUUAGCUUGAGGAUGCAAAGCAAGCUAACCCCAGCUCAGGAACUAGGCUAGAUUUGCCCUGGCCAUAGUGAGCUGACCCCUGGUGUGGAAGCCUGGAGUAAAGUUGUGAGGAAGCCCAUCGGUAAUAAUCUGCUGUGCUGUCAAGAUGUUAUUCAAAAAGAAAAGGCACGCCCGGACCAUGUGGCUCAGUGGUUGGUGCUGUCCCAUGCACCCAGAAGCCAUCAGCUCGAUUCCCGGUCAGGGCACUGGUCCAGAUCCGGGCUCCAUCCCGAGUAGGGGGCGUGCAAGGCAGCUGACCCAUAUUUCUCCCUCUCCUUUCCUCUCUAAAAUCAAAACAUUUUUUUUAAAAAGGUACAAUGCCCAAAUACAUCAUCUAAGAUCCAUAUCCUAUAAUCAGAAAAAGUGAUCUAAAAAGUCCUAACAAAGCCGUCAUCUAUACCUACUAUCCCUUCAUCGGUUCAAAAAUAAUUACUAGCCUGAUCUUUUCAUAAAGGGUCCUGCAGAAGUGUAAUCCCUUAGCUCACGGGUAGCCCGAAAGGCAGUUUUCUGUGCCUCCGAGUCAGGGCUGGGUUCUCUUCUGUCUUGAAGCCACGAGUGCGACCAAAUGCCUGCUUCCUCACAGCCCUCACGGCCCUUCCUGGCCUGGGAGUCCGAGCUGUGCGGUUCCCUUCAUCGCCCAGGCAGCGGGCGGCAGCCAGGACUCAGGCCAGCGGAGCCCCCGGCCUCACCGCCGAGGGACUGGAACCGGCGGAGCCUUCAGCCCCUACACCCACAGCACACAGUCCCGUGAAGAGUUCUGAGCUCAUCUUCCCCGGCUGCAGCUCAGCCGGGUUUCUGCCCCUCCCCGCCUUGACAACCUGAUUUAUGUCCUCCUUAUAGACCAUGUAAUAUUUUAGGAACUUUUUUACAAAAUAAGUUGCCAUAAUCCUACCCCACUCAUUUAUUUCAAAUCCUCAAAUACAGUCGGUCCUCCAUAUUCAUGGUUCCGCACCCACAGUUUCAAUCGACGGCAGGUGAAAAAUA